RNAcentral lists this ribosomal RNA (1370 nucleotides) under uncultured bacterium. RNAcentral describes it as "bacterial SSU rRNA". It matches the Rfam family "Bacterial small subunit ribosomal RNA", at positions 28 to 1381 of the family's 1533-position model. The record is from RNAcentral.
GAUGAACGCUGGCGGCGUGCCUAAUACAUGCAAGUCGAGCGAACGGACGAGAAGCUUGCUUCUCUGAUGUUAGCGGCGGACGGGUGAGUAACACGUGGAUAACCUACCUAUAAGACUGGGAUAACUUCGGGAAACCGGAGCUAAUACCGGAUAAUAUUUUGAACCGCAUGGUUCAAAAGUAAAAGACGGUCUUGCUGUCACUUAUAGAUGGAUCCGCGCUGCAUUAGCUAGUUGGUAAGGUAACGGCUUACCAAGGCAACGAUGCAUAGCCGACCUGAGAGGGUGAUCGGCCACACUGGAACUGAGACACGGUCCAGACUCCUACGGGAGGCAGCAGUAGGGAAUCUUCCGCAAUGGGCGAAAGCCUGACGGAGCAACGCCGCGUGAGUGAUGAAGGUCUUCGGAUCGUAAAACUCUGUUAUUAGGGAAGAAUAUAUGUGUAAGUAACUGUGCACAUCUUGACGGUACCUAAUCAGAAAGCCACGGCUAACUACGUGCCAGCAGCCGCGGGUAUACGUAGGUGGCAAGCGUUAUCCGGAAUAUUGGGCGUAAAGCGCGCGUAGGCGGUUUUUUAGUCUGAUGUGAAAGCCCACGGCUCUUCCGUGGAGGGUCAUUGGAAACUGGAAAACUUGAGUGCAGAAGAGGAAAGUGGAAUUCCAUGUGUAGCGGUGAAAUGCGCAGAGAUAUGGAGGAACACCAGUGGCGAAGGCGACUUUCUGGUCUGUAACUGACGCUGAUGUGCGAAAGCGUGGGGAUCAAACAGGAUUAGAUACCCUGGUAGUCCACGCCGUAAACGAUGAGUGCUAAGUGUUAGGGGGUUUCCGCCCCUUAGUGCUGCAGCUAACGCAUUAAGCACUCCGCCUGGGGAGUACGACCGCAAGGUUGAAACUCAAAGGAAUUGACGGGGACCCGCACAAGCGGUGGAGCAUGUGGUUUAAUUCGAAGCAACGCGAAGAACCUUACCAAAUCUUGACAUCCUUUGACAACUCUAGAGAUAGAGCCUUCCCCUUCGGGGGACAAAGUGACAGGUGGUGCAUGGUUGUCGUCAGCUCGUGUCGUGAGAUGUUGGGUUAAGUCCCGCAACGAGCGCAACCCUUAAGCUUAGUUGCCAUCAUUAAGUUGGGCACUCUAAGUUGACUGCCGGUGACAAACCGGAGGAAGGUGGGGAUGACGUCAAAUCGUCAUGCCCCUUAUGAUUUGGGCUACACACGUGCUACAAUGGACAAUACAAAGGGCAGCGAAACCGCGAGGUCAAGCAAAUCCCAUAAAGUUGUUCUCAGUUCGGAUUGUAGUCUGCAACUCGACUACAUGAAGCUGGAAUCGCUAGUAAUCGUAGAUCAGCAUGCUACGGUGAAUACGUUCCCGGGUCU